AUUGAACGCUGGCGGCAUGCCUUACACAUGCAAGUCGAACGGCAGCACGGGUGCUUGCCCCUGGUGGCGAGUGGCGAACGGGUGAGUAAUACAUCGGAACAUGUCCUGUAGUGGGGGAUAGCCCGGCGAAAGCCGGAUUAAUACCGCAUACGAUCUACGGAUGAAAGCGGGGGACCUUCGGGCCUCGCGCUAUAGGGUUGGCCGAUGGCUGAUUAGCUAGUUGGUGGGGUAAAGGCCUACCAAGGCGACGAUCAGUAGCUGGUCUGAGAGGACGACCAGCCACACUGGGACUGAGACACGGCCCAGACUCCUACGGGAGGCAGCAGUGGGGAAUUUUGGACAAUGGGCGAAAGCCUGAUCCAGCAAUGCCGCGUGUGUGAAGAAGGCCUUCGGGUAGUAAAGCACUUUUGUCCGGAAAGAAAUCCUUGGCCCUAAUACGGUCGGGGGAUGACGGUACCGGAAGAAUAAGCACCGGCUAACUACGUG
RNAcentral lists this ribosomal RNA (486 nucleotides) under uncultured bacterium. RNAcentral's name for it is "partial 16S ribosomal RNA". It matches the Rfam family "Bacterial small subunit ribosomal RNA", at positions 30 to 507 of the family's 1533-position model. The record is from RNAcentral.